GCGUGUGUGAAGAAGGCUUUCGGGUUGUAAAGCACUUUCAGCGAGGAAGAAGGCCUCUGGGUUAAUACCCCAGAGGAAGGACAUCACUCGCAGAAGAAGCACCGGCUAACUCCGUGCCAGCAGCCGCGGUAAUACGGAGGGUGCGAGCGUUAAUCGGAAUUACUGGGCGUAAAGCGCGCGUAGGUGGCUUGGCACGCCGGUUGUGAAAGCCCCGGGCUCAACCUGGGAACGGCAUCCGGAACGGCCAGGCUAGAGUGCAGGAGAGGAAGGUAGAAUUCCCGGUGUAGCGGUGAAAUGCGUAGAGAUCGGGAGGAAUACCAGUGGCGAAGGCGGCCUUCUGGCCUGACACUGACACUGAGGUGCGAAAGCGUGGGUAGCAAACAGGAUUAGAUACCCUGGUAGUCCACGCCGUAAACGAUGUCGACUAGCCGUUGGGACCUUUAAGGACUUAGUGGCGCAGUUAACGCGAUAAGUCGACCGCCUGGGGAGUACGGCCGCAAGGUUAAAACUCAAAUGAAUUGACGGGGGCCCGCACAAGCGGUGGAGCAUGUGGUUUAAUUCGAUGCAACGCGAAGAACCUUACCUACCCUUGACAUCCAGAGAACUUUCCAGAGAUGGAUUGGUGCCUUCGGGAACUCUGAGACAGGUGCUGCAUGGCUGUCGUCAGCUCGUGUUGUGAAAUGUUGGGUUAAGUCCCGUAACGAGCGCAACCCUUGUCCUUAUUUGCCAGCGAUUCGGUCGGGAACUCUAAGGAGACUGCCGGUGACAAACCGGAGGAAGGUGGGGACGACGUCAAGUCAUCAUGGCCCU
Molecule: ribosomal RNA, 810 nt
Filed under: Salinicola sp. M134
Lineage: Bacteria; Pseudomonadati; Pseudomonadota; Gammaproteobacteria; Oceanospirillales; Halomonadaceae
Description: bacterial SSU rRNA
Rfam family: Bacterial small subunit ribosomal RNA
Source: RNAcentral